Molecule: ribosomal RNA, 253 nt
Filed under: uncultured bacterium
Lineage: Bacteria
Description: partial 16S ribosomal RNA
Rfam family: Bacterial small subunit ribosomal RNA
Source: RNAcentral
GACGAACCGUGCGAACGUUGUUCGGAUUCACUGGGCUUAAAGGGCGCGUAGGCGGCCCGCCAAGUCAGGGGUGAAAGCCCCCAGCUUAACUGGGGAAGGGCCUCUGAUACUGGCGGGCUCGAGGGGGAUAGGGGCGGACGGAACUUCCGGUGGAGCGGUGAAAUGCGUUGAUAUCGGAAGGAACGCCGGUGGCGAAAGCGGUCCGCUGGGUCCCCUCUGACGCUGAGGCGCGAAAGCCAGGGGAGCGAACGGG